GGCAGAUAUUGGCAAUUAGUUGGCAGUGGCCUGUUACGGUUGGGAUUGGUGGGGUGGGUUUAGGUAAUUGUUUAGUUUAUGAUUGCAGAUAAACUCAUGCCAGAGAACUUAAAAGUCUUAGGAUGGAAAAGGUAAAGAAAUAUCAAUUUCAAGUUGGCAAGUAACUCUCAAUGAUUUAGUUUUUGUUUCCCCCAGUUUUUGAAUUGGGAAGCUGGGGGAAGUUAUAUAUGAGCCACUGGGUGUUCCAGUGCAUUAAUUUGGGCAAGGAAAGUGUCAUAAUUUGAUACUGUAUCUGUUUUCCUUCAAAGUAUAGAGCUUGGGGAAGGAAAGUAUUGAACGGGGGGUUGGUCUGGCCCACUGGGCUGACAUUUAACUACAAUUAUGGGAAAUGCAAAAGUUGUUUGGAUAUGGUAGUGUGUGGUUCUCUUUUGGAAUUUUUUUCAGGUGAUUUAAUAAUAAUUUAAAACUACUAUAGAAACUUCAGAGCAAAGGAAGUGGCUUAAUGAUCCUGAAGGGAUUUCUUCUGAUGGUAGCUUUUGUAUUAUCAAACUUUUUUCAGAUAACAUCUUCUGAGUCAUAACCAGCCUGGCAGUAUGAUGGCCUAGAUGCAGAGAAAACAGCUCCUUGGUGAAUGAUAAGUAAAGGCAGAAAAGAUUAUAUGUCAUACCUCCAUUGGGGAAUAAGCAUAACCCUGAGAUUCUUACUACUGAUGAGAACAUAUCUGCAUAUGCCAAAAAAUUUUAAGCAAAUGAAAGCUACCAAUUUAAAGUUAUGGAAUCUACCAUUUUAAAGUUAAUUGCUUGUCAAGCUAUAACCACAAAAAUAAUGAUGAGAAAUACAAUGAAGAGCCAAUGUCCAUCUCAAAAUACUGCUUUUACAAAAGCAGAAUAAAAGCGAAAUGAAAUGAAAAUGUUACACUACAUAAUCCUGGAAUAAAAGAAGCCGAAAUAAAUGAGAGAUGAGUUGGGAUCAAGUGGAUUGAGGAGGCUGUGCUGUGUGCCAAUGUUUCGUUUGCCUCAGACAGGUAUCUCUUCGUUAUCAGAAGAGUUGCUUCAUUUCAUCUGGGAGCAGAAAACAGCAGGCAGCUGUUAACAGAUAAGUUUAACUUGCAUCUGCAGUAUUGCAUGUUAGGGAUAAGUGCUUAUUUUUAAGAGCUGUGGAGUUCUUAAAUAUCAACCAUGGCACUUUCUCCUGACCCCUUCCCUAGGGGAUUUCAGGAUUGAGGAAUUUUCCCAUCGAGCCUCUUUAAAAUUGUAGGACUUGUUCCUGUGGGCUUCAGUGAUGGGAUAGUACACUUCAGAGAGGCAUUUGCGUCUUUAAAUAAUUUCUUAAAAGCCUCUAAAGUGAUCAGUGCCUUAAUGCAACUAAGGAAAUUUGUUUAGCAUUGAAUCUCUGAAGGCUCUAUGAAAGGAAUAGCAUGAUGUGCUGUUAGAAUCGGAUGUUAUUGCUAAAAUUUACAUGUUGUGUUGUGAUGUAAAUUGUGUAGAAAACCAUUAAAUCAUUCAAAAUAAUAAA
This 1515-nucleotide long non-coding RNA is filed under the name Pongo abelii (Sumatran orangutan). RNAcentral describes it as "lincRNA". The stretch from base 824 to 913 matches the Rfam family "Metastasis associated lung adenocarcinoma transcript 1". Lineage: Eukaryota; Metazoa; Chordata; Mammalia; Primates; Hominidae. The record is from RNAcentral.